RNAcentral lists this ribosomal RNA (496 nucleotides) under uncultured bacterium. RNAcentral's name for it is "partial 16S ribosomal RNA". It matches the Rfam family "Bacterial small subunit ribosomal RNA", at positions 29 to 507 of the family's 1533-position model. The record is from RNAcentral.
AUGAACGCUGGCGGCGUGCCUCAUACAUGCAAGUCGCGCGAACAGACGAGGAGCUUGCUCCUCUGACGUUAGCGGCGGACGGGUGAGUAACACGUGGAUAACCUACCUAUAAGACUGGGAUAACUUCGGGAAACCGGAGCUAAUACCGGAUAAUAUAUUGAACCGCAUGGUUCAAUAGUGAAAGACGGUUUUGCUGUCACUUAUAGAUGGAUCCGCGCCGCAUUAGCUAGUUGGUAAGGUAACGGCUUACCAAGGCAACGAUGCGUAGCCGACCUGAGAGGGUGAUCGGCCACACUGGAACUGAGACACGGUCCAGACUCCUACGGGAGGCAGCAGUAGGGAAUCUUCCGCAAUGGGCGAAAGCCUGACGGGGCAACGCCGCGUGAGUGAUGAAGGUCUUCGGAUCGUAAAACUCUGUUAUUAGGGAAGAACAAAUGUGUAAGUAACUAUGCACGUCUUGACGGUACCUAAUCAGAAAGCCACGGCUAACUACGUG